Long non-coding RNA from Panicum virgatum (switchgrass), 1235 nucleotides. RefSeq lists it as uncharacterized. Lineage: Eukaryota; Viridiplantae; Streptophyta; Magnoliopsida; Poales; Poaceae. The record is from RefSeq and is a predicted model, not a curated record. The transcript has 3 exons.
CAAUAUGAUAUCUGAUGAGUGUGAUGUUGAUGCAAUCUCCUUGUCAAGUGGCUUUCAGUGGACAUUUGGUGAUCCUGAGAACCAAACCAAGGUUGCAAAAGCAGCUCCGAAAAGGGCAGGCAAUUACAAUCAUGAAGAGGACAUCCAAUUGUGCGUGUCAUGGGAAAACAUCCGCACUGAUCCUAUCAUUGGCAAUGAGCAGCCAGGGAGAGCAUAUUGGAAAAGAAUUGCAGAUCAUUAUCAUGCCAACAAGACCUUUGAGUCAGAUAGGAAUGCCAACUCACUUGAGCACCGUUGGAGUACCAUUCAAAAGGAGUGCCAGAAGUUUCAAAGAUACUAUGAUGAGGUCGAGCGUCACCAUCCAAGUGGCAUACCAUACAAGGAGCAUAUCAUUGAAGCACCGACACUAUUUGCAAAGGGGCCACUAAAAAGUCAUUCCAAUUCCUUCACUGUUGGCUCAAGGUGAGGCAUUGUCAGAAAUUCCAAACAAUGGAGAAUAAUAGAAGGUCACAGAGUAACAUGUCUUCCAAUGGAGCUACUGAAAGGGAUGAUGGAGAUGACAGUAGUAGAAGUUAUUCAACAGAACCAAACCCAAACAAGAGGCCACCUGGAAGGAAGCAAGCAAAGGAGAGAUUGAAGAUAGGAGGUGAUGCAGGGCUAUACAAAGAAGCUAUUGCAGAGUUGAUCUUGGACAAGAAGGAGGAGAAGAAGUUGAGGGAGCUUAGGUGGGAUGAGGAGAAAAAAAUGAAGGAGGAUAGGUGGAAGGAGACAAAGAUGAUUCAGCAGCAAAAGAUAAUCAUUGGAAAAAGGCAAACUGAUGUGGGAACAAGAAUAGAAAAUCAUGUUCUGUGAUGUGAGUACCUUGGAUCCAGAUCAGAAGACAUAUGUGUUGACAAUGAGAGCACAAAUUGCAGCACAAAAGAUGGCUGCCUUCAGUGCUGGGUUUGGUGGUGGGUUUAGCAUUUCUAGUGGGGGAACUGGAGGUGAUGCCGAUGGUGCAACCAUUUAAUUUAUGCUUGUAACUCCUCCAGAAGUAGAACAAACCCAUCAGAGAAAUACGAAAUACAUUCAGGUGGUUUCAGUUGAUAACCAUGAGUUUUGGUCCAUGGACUUUGUUUACCACAACAGUGCUGUCAAGAAUCUGCAGGAAGCACUUCAGGAGUCUCAUAGUUUGCGUGCUAGUGAUGCCCAUAGAUUGGUAGUAGCAUGUCAUAUAAACUAUAGUUGUAAUAUAC